GUGGACUCGAACUUUCCUCAUAUUGCCCCGUUCUCUGUCUCAGUCUGUUGUAUGGACCUACACACUCUGGAGUGCAUGAUUCCCGAGAUAUUCCAAUUCUACAAAGAUAGGGAUUUUUUUGCUUCAGUUGUUCCUGGCCAACAAUUGUUUCCUCAUUCCAAAAUGUAUGUGAGAGGGCAUAGUCUACCUAAGCUGCAGGAAUAGAUCUAAAAGGUGAGACAGGGGGAGGGGAUAUUAUUUAAUCCUGAUGAUACUCAAUUAUGUGCAGUACGAGGCCAACACAAGGUUGCUAAAAGCCUCAAGGCUAGCUCAGAGCUGCUGCAUUGAGCAGGCAUGCAGGAGCUACAUUU
This 350-nucleotide long non-coding RNA is filed under the name Mus spicilegus (steppe mouse). Its description in RNAcentral is "lncRNA (ENSMSIG00000030096.1)". Lineage: Eukaryota; Metazoa; Chordata; Mammalia; Rodentia; Muridae. The record is from RNAcentral.